Molecule: long non-coding RNA, 3502 nt
Organism: Haplochromis burtoni (Burton's mouthbrooder)
Lineage: Eukaryota; Metazoa; Chordata; Actinopteri; Cichliformes; Cichlidae
Exons: 2
Source: RefSeq, a predicted model, not a curated record
CCAGGGUGAGAUCUAAAACCUGCAGGACACUGGCCCUCAAGGCCUGGAGUUGGCCACCCCUGUCCUAUAGUAUCUCCACAACCUCUUGUGUGUCCUAAUGACUGUAGAUACAGGUUGUUGCUUAACAAGACAAACACACUUUCAUAUCAGCAGAUCGAGCUAGUGAUCAGCUCUGCAAAUCGGGUGGGGUGAGGGCAGUGGCACUGUAUAAAUUUGCUUAUGACUUGCGUAGUGCUCUGGUGGUACAACUUACAAACUGUUGAAAAGUUGGUAAUCAGGGGGUGGAGGUCCUCCAUGGGGAAGGGGGUCUGACAAAGAAAAUGAACCAAAUCAAAAAAGCAGAUCCAUCAGUAAGUACAUUUCAUUAAAGGUAGAAUUUCACAGGAAUAUUAUGGAACUUGAAAAAACUUGAAACUUUUAUUGUCAUUGUACUAUUGCUUGCACAGUGAAAUUAGGUAGCAAGCCCACAAAGGUGCAAAAGCAAAGAAAACAAUAUACAAGAAAAGAAAAAAAAACAGUAUAAUAACACUAUAUGCACAAUUUUUGGGUUACAGGAAGUAUUUUGGGGGUGUGUACAAGGACAUUGUAAUGAAAUAUAAUAAAUAAAAAAUAAGGGUGGAAGGGCUUUGGUCGUUAAGGAUAGGGAUGGAAAUUGCACAUCUGACAAAAUAUUGCACGGAGGGGAAAAAAAUGGCAGUAACAUAAUAAAUGGCAAAUAGCAGGGUCAGAAUGAUUGUAUGGGUGAGGUCUGCUCCCAGUCUUAACUUGCAUUUAUGGUUCUGACAUCCCAUGGAUAGAAGCUGUUCUUUAGUCUAUUGGUUUCACACCUGAUGGAACUGAACCUUUUUCCAGAGGGCAGGAUGUUGAAUAGAUGGUGGCUUGGAUGGAGAUGGUCUUUUAUAUUUGCCCUGACUCUAGAGAGGCAUCUAGAGCUGGCAAUGGAGUCCAGGGAGGAGAGUGGACAGCCAAUCACCUUCUCUGCAGUUCUGAUGACUCUCUGGAGUCUGUUCUUAUCAGCUGUUGUGCAACCAGCGUAACACACGGGGAUGGUGUGCACCAGCACACUCUCAAUUGUUGCUUGAUAGAAGGACACUAGUAGGUCAGUCUGCAGCCUGUUCUAUCUUAGAACCCUAAAGAAAUGGAGGCUCUGUUGGGAUUUCGUCACCAAGGCUGAUGUGUUUGUACUUCAGGAUAGGUCCUCAGAAAUGUGGGUACAGAGGAACUUAAAGGAGGACACCCGCUCCACAAAGUUGCCUUAUAUAGAGGGGGAAGAGGGAUCAGUUUUUGUCUUGUGCAAGUCUAAGACCACUUCCUUGGUUUUCCUGGUGUUGAGGGUCAGGUUAUUGUGGUCACACCAUUCUGUCAGACAUUGGAUAUCAUCUAUGUAAGCGGUGUCGUCAUCGUUGGUGAUGAGUGCUGUCUGCAAAUCUGAUGAUGUGUGGGGGUGCAGUCGCUGGUGUAGAUGCAGCAUAAGAGAGAACUCAGCACACAUGCCUGCGGUGAGCCAGUGCUCAGUGACAGGGAGGAUGAUCUCCGGUUGCCAACCUUGACAGAUUAUGAUCGGUCUGUAAGAAAGUUUUUGAUCCAUCCACAUGUAGCGGGGGAAGAAGUCCAGGUUUACCAGCUUGGCUAUAAGGAUGUCUGGGAUGAUGGUUUUAAAAGCCAAGCUGAAAUCAAUGAAGAGCAUCCUUACUGAAGUCCCAGGAUUCUCCAGGUGAUGCAGAGCAGAGUGGAGGGCAGUGGAAAUUGCAUCCUGCCUUAUAGGCAAACUGAUGGGGGUCAAAGCUGGGUGGGUGGCAGUCCUUUAUGUGCUAUAGGAAGCUGCUUCUCAAAGCACUUAGCAACCACUGGAGUCAGUGCAAUGGGUCUGUAAUCAUUGAGGCCACUGAUGGUGGUGGACUUGGGGACUGGGACUAUUGCUGCUGAUUUCAGUGAGGGACAGUGGCAUGUAACAGGGAGAGGUUGAAUAGCCUGGCUUUGAGCACGCUCCCAGGUAUUCCAUGUAGGGCCUGUGGCUUCUCUCUCAUAUUAACUGCUCUAAACACAUUGCAAACCCGGUGUUCUUGGUGUGUGGGCUGUGCUCAGAGGAGGCUAUGGGCAGGGUGGUGUGCAUCGUAGGGGUGUCUACAGUUCUCCCAAAGCAGGCGAAGAAGUGGUUAAGUUCCUUUGCCAAUGAGAUGUCCAUGUUAUCUGUAUUUGUCCUGUUACCUGCGGAGUUGGUGAUGUGUUUCUGGCCCUCCUAUACCUUUUUAGGGUUGUUAUCUGAGAUUUGUGUGCACAGUUGCAGACUUGCCUGAACCUUACUUGUCAUUCAGGGUUUACAAUUGGGGUAGGCCCAGACCCACUUUUCUGUGGUGACAGUGUCCAUGCAAUGCAUGAUGUAAACCAGCACUGCAGCAGUGUGAGUCUCUAGUUUGACAUGUUCGAAGACUCUCCACUCUGUGAGGGCGAAACCGUUCUGCAGCUGUGCCAGAGCUUCCUCAGAAAAGGUGUUGAAAGUUCUGAUGUUAGGCUUUGUCCUUUUUCUGAGUGGUGUGUUUGCCGGGACAACAAGCAGAGAGAGGUGGUCAGAUAUACUGUGGUGGGGGAGGGGAACAGAUCUGUAAACAUGGUCCAAGGUGUUAUUUCCUCUCAUGGGUCACAUGUUGAACAAAUUUAGGUAGCACAGUCACAGUUCUUAAGCAUGCUUUGUUGAAAUCCCCUACGAUUAUGUGUACUCCUUCUGGAUAUGUCCGUUGCUGUUCAGAGAUCAAGUCAUGCAGGUAGGCAAAGGCUGAGCUAACAUUUGCAUCUGGUGGUAUAAAGACUGGUGUUAUUAGCACUGUGGGCAGUUCUCUGGGGAAAUAGAAAGGUCUGCACACGACAGACAUUGCCUCUAUGUCCAGGGAGCAGACUAUGAUGAUGAUCUUAGUGUUUGUGCACCAGUUGUUAUGUGUGUAAAUGCUUUUGCACAAACUCUGCUUUUCCCCGCUGUAGCCAUUCAGUCGCUGAGGUGCAUUGUGCAGCCUGCUAGUUUCAUGUCUCUGUGACGACCAAGACACAACAGUUGUGGACGAGUGGCUGUGCAGCGAGAGGAAGGUUCAGUUCGUCUAUUUUGUUGACGACCGACCAUGGUUGGUCAAGAAGAUGCUGAGAAGCAGUGGUGUAAAGGGCUGCUUCUUUAGCCUGGCUAGCUAAUGUAAAAGUAAAGAAAGUAUACUUAGCUACAGAAGGACAUUUAAGUUGCCAGAAUUCCUGGUGUUAGUAAAGACAAAAGCAGUUAUUCAGUACAAAUGUACUGACUUUUUUUUUUUUAAUUAGGUCAAAGAGAGGGUGCAAAAUUUUUAAAAUGUAAAAGUAAAACAUCAUAGUUUAAAUGUAAUGUACAGACUUACCUUUUUUUGUGACAAUGAAUGUAAAUUAUGGGCUGGAUUCAAAUUGUCAGUGGGCUCUGAGUUAGAAACAUACACUUAUGGGAUGUUGUGGAAGCCUUUAACUAAUUUAACUGAUAAUGCUUUCACUA